UGUAUGCUGAACUUGGUUGACAUGGACUCUUGUCUGGGAUGGUCCCAAAUUCCUGGUCUCAAGUGAUCCUUCUGCCUCAGUCUUCCACGUAGCUGAGGCUACAGAUGUGGUCUUGCUGUGUUGCCCAAGGCUGGUUUUGAACUCCUGGACUCAAGUGAUCCUCCUGCUUCAGCCUCCUCAGAGCUGGCACUACAGACAUGCACUACCAUACCUGGUCAGAGGGGCCAUGUUAGAUGCAUUUUUUGAGGAAGACCACUCUGAUCGGAUGACAUUGGAGCAGUGACAUGUGUCACGAGAAGCACUAGAACAAGAAUAUUCCUGGUAGAGAUUCUGCCUAUGAGAGAGAACACGUGACAGUCACCUUUCUGAAAGUUUGGCCGUGUUAAGCUGGAGAGGACCACUGGACUACCCAGUGGAAAAGUUC
This is a long non-coding RNA of Marmota flaviventris (yellow-bellied marmot), 424 nucleotides long. RefSeq lists it as uncharacterized. The record is from RefSeq and is a predicted model, not a curated record. NCBI's taxonomy places the organism in Eukaryota, Metazoa, Chordata, Mammalia, Rodentia, Sciuridae.